GCCUCUCUCUCUCUCUCUCUCUCUCCAUGUGCCCAUACAAACACAAUAUAUGAGCUGUAUGACUCUUACUAAUAACGACUCUCCUAUUUAAAGUCCAAGAAGCCCUUCUCUUACAAACCACUUUUUUCUCUCUUAUAGCUUUCACUCUCUCCCUCUCCUUUUAUUGUAGAAUCGAAGUACCUCUUUCUCAAGUCAAGAAACGAAGUUUCAGAGAGAAAAACAAGAUGUUUACUAACACUUCGUCUAUCCCAUUCUAGUUAUCGACAUCCAAGGCUGUCAAAGAGACAACCUUAGAGUUCGCCGGCUUAACAGGAGAAGAAGAGUAUUGAAAGAAGAAGCAAAGGAGAAGAAAAGGGUGAGAGUAGUGAAGAUGGAAAUGAAGAACUUGAAACUGUUCAUGGUAAACGGAAGCAUCAUGGAAGAGAACGAGAAGCUGAGACAGAAAGCUUUGCUGCUUCACCAAGAGAAUCAGGCCCUGUUAUUCCAGCUCCAAACAAAGCUCUCUCAACAACAGAAACAGCAACAACAAUCACUAAAAUGAAUAUGUACUGCUUUUUGCAGAAACUAAUUAGAAGAAUAGGUAGGAAUAGGGGUCUCUGUUCUUUGAUCUUUGGACUCUGGAGUUGACUUUAAGUUCUUUGAAUAAUUAACUAGGGUGGGGAAUGAAUAAAGGAAAAAUGGGUUGUUAGCCUUUUUAUGAGUAAUACAUGCAUGGAUUAUAAUGUAUAAUAGUACAA
This is a long non-coding RNA of Quercus robur (English oak), 737 nucleotides long. RefSeq lists it as uncharacterized. The record is from RefSeq and is a predicted model, not a curated record. The transcript has 2 exons. Lineage: Eukaryota; Viridiplantae; Streptophyta; Magnoliopsida; Fagales; Fagaceae.